This 3117-nucleotide ribosomal RNA is filed under the name Arcanobacterium buesumense. Its description in RNAcentral is "Arcanobacterium sp. 2701 23S ribosomal RNA". It matches the Rfam family "Bacterial large subunit ribosomal RNA". The record is from RNAcentral. Lineage: Bacteria; Bacillati; Actinomycetota; Actinomycetes; Actinomycetales; Actinomycetaceae.
AGUGGACGCGAGCAUCUUUGGUUUUUUGUAAGUGUUCAAGAGCGUUCGGUGGAUGCCUUGGCAUACGGAGCCGAUGAAGGACGUUGUAGCCUGCGAUAAGCCUCGGGGAGUUGGCAAACGAGCUGUGAUCCGGGGGUGUCCGAAUGGGGGAACCUGGCCAGAGUUGUUUCUGGUUACCAGCAUCUGAAUGUAUAGGGUGUUUGGGGGUAACGCGGGGAAGUGAAACAUCUUAGUACCCGCAGGAAAAGAUAUUCUGUGAGUAGUGGCGAGCGAAAGCGGAUGAGGCUAAACCAUGCGCGUGUGAUAGCCAUCGGGUGUUGCGUGUGUGGUGUUGUGGGGCCAUGUUUGACCUUGCCGAUGUGGGGUCGGGUAGUGAUAAAUGCUAGCGUGUAGACGAAUCAGUUGGGAAGCUGGACCGUAGACGGUGAGAGUCCGGUAGUUGUAAUGUGUUAGCCUGCCUUAUGUGGUGCCCGAGUAGCACGGGGCCCGUGAAAUCCCGUGUGAAUCUGCACAGACCACUGUGUAAGCCUAAAUACUCCGUGUGACCGAUAGUGUAGUAGUACCGUGAGGGAAUGGUGAAAAGUACCCCGGGAGGGGAGUGAAAUAGUACCUGAAACCGGACGCUUACAAUCCGUCAGAGCCUCCUUGGUAGGGGUGAUGGCGUGCCUUUUGAAGAAUGAGCCUGCGAGUUAGUGGCAUGUAGCGAGGUUAACCCGUGUGGGGGAGCCGUAGCGAAAGCGAGUUUUAAAAAGCGGUUUUUAGUUGCAUGUUCUAGACCCGAAGCGGGGUGAUCUACCCAUGGGCAGGUUGAAGCACGUGUAAGAGCGUGUGGAGGACCGAACCCACUUCAGUUGAAAAUGGAGGGGAUGACCUGUGGGUAGGGGUGAAAGGCCAAUCAAACUCCGUGAUAGCUGGUUCUCCCCGAAAUGCAUUUAGGUGCAGCGUCGUGUGUUUCUUAUCGGAGGUAGAGCGACUGGAUGGCCGAUGGCCCUUAUCGGGGUACUGACGUCAGCCAAACUCCGAAUGCCGGUAAGUUAGAGCACGGCAGUGAGACUGCGGGGGAUAAGCUUCGUAGUCGAGAGGGAAACAGCCCAGACCGCCGGUUAAGGCCCCUAAGCGUGUGCUAAGUGGGAAAGGAUGUGGAGUUGCUGUGACAACCAGGAGGUUGGCUUAGAAGCAGCCACCCUUGAAAGAGUGCGUAAUAGCUCACUGGUCAAGUGAUUCUGCGCCGACAAUGUAGCGGGGCUUAAGUACACCGCCGAAACCGCGGCAAUGAAAUUUUUUUUGUUUUGUUGGGUAGGGGAGCGUCGUGCGUGAGGUGAAGCAGCACAGGUGACUGGUUGUGGAUUUCGUACGAGUGAGAAUGCAGGCAUGAGUAGCGAAUGACGGGUGAGAAUCCCGUCCGCCGAAUAACUAAGGGUUCCAGGGCCAGGUUCGUCCGCCCUGGGUUAGUCGGGUCCUAAGGCGAGGCCGACAGGCGUAGUCGAUGGGCAACCAGUUGAUAUUCUGGUACCGGCGAAAGACCGUCCGUGUUGAAUCGUGGGAUACUAACCAUCCGAGCUAUGGUUCCUUCCUUCGGGUUGGGGUUGUGGUGAGCGUGGGAACUGAUCGCGUAGUAGGCAAGCGUGUUAACAGGGGUGACGCAGAGUGGUAGCUUCGCGUGGCUAAUGGCUUGCCACGUUUAACAGCGCAGCCUGUUUCCUAGGUAAAUCCGGGAAGCGUGUAGGUGAGGCUGGAUGAUGACCCAUUUUUUGUGGGGAAGUAGAGUGAUCCUGUGCUGUCGAGAAAAGCCUCGACGUUAGGUCUUAGCCGCCCGUACCCUAAACCGACACAGGUAGUUGAGUAGAGAAUACUAAGGCGAGCGAGUGAAUCGUGGUUAAGGAACUCGGCAAAAUGCCCCCGUAACUUCGGAAGAAGGGGGGCCCGGACCUUGAAGCCUUUUAACAGGCUAGGGGGAAGGGCCGCAGAAACCAGGGAGAAGCGACUGUUUAUCAAAAACACAGGUCCGUGCGAACACGUAAGUGGAUGUAUACGGACUGACGCCUGCCCGGUGCUGGAAGGUUAAGAGGAACGGUUAAAAUACUUUUGUGUUUGAAGCUGUGAAUUUAAGCCCCAGUAAACGGCGGUGGUAACUAUAACCAUCCUAAGGUAGCGAAAUUCCUUGUCGGGUAAGUUCCGACCUGCACGAAUGGCGUAACGACUUCUCCACUGUCUCAACCGCGAACUCGGUGAAAUUGCAUUACGAGUAAAGAUGCUCGUUACGCGCAGCAGGACGGAAAGACCCCGGGACCUUUACUAUAGCUUGGUAUUGGUGUUCGGUACGGCUUGUGUAGGAUAGGUGGGAGACUUUGAAGCGGCCACGCCAGUGGUUGUGGAGUCAUUGUUGAAAUACCACUCUGGUCGUGCUGGAUGUCUAACCUUGGACCAUGAUCUGGUUCAGGGACAGUGCCUGGUGGGUAGUUUAACUGGGGCGGUUGCCUCCUAAAUGGUAACGGAGGCGCUCAAAGGUUCCCUCAGCCUGGUUGGCAAUCAGGUGUUGAGUGUAAGUGUACAAGGGAGCUUGACUGUGAGACCGACAGGUCGAGCAGGUACGAAAGUAGGAACUAGUGAUCCGGCGGUGGCUUGUGGAAGCGCCGUCGCUCAACGGAUAAAAGGUACCCCGGGGAUAACAGGCUGAUCCUGCCCAAGAGUUCAUAUCGACGGCAUGGUUUGGCACCUCGAUGUCGGCUCGUCGCAUCCUGGGGCUGGAGUAGGUCCCAAGGGUUGGGCUGUUCGCCCAUUAAAGCGGCACGCGAGCUGGGUUCAGAACGUCGUGAGACAGUUCGGUCCCUAUCCGCUGCGCGCGUAGGAAACUUGAAAAGGGCUGUCCCUAGUACGAGAGGACCGGGACGGACGAACCUCUGGUGUGCCAGUUGUACCGCCAGGUGCAUGGCUGGUUGGCUACGUUCGGGAAGGAUAACCGCUGAAAGCAUCUAAGCGGGAAGCCUGCUUUGAGAUGAGGUUUCCAUAAACAUUAUUGUUUUGUAGGCCCCCUAUAGACCAUGGGGUUGAUAGGCCAGGCGUGGAAGCAUCGUAAGGUGUGGAGCUGACUGGUACUAAUGGCCAACCAUUUACAAA